Molecule: ribosomal RNA, 1531 nt
Filed under: Pectobacterium parmentieri WPP163
Lineage: Bacteria; Pseudomonadati; Pseudomonadota; Gammaproteobacteria; Enterobacterales; Pectobacteriaceae
Description: bacterial SSU rRNA
Rfam family: Bacterial small subunit ribosomal RNA
Source: RNAcentral
AGAGUUUGAUCAUGGCUCAGAUUGAACGCUGGCGGCAGGCCUAACACAUGCAAGUCGAGCGGUAGCACAGAAGAGCUUGCUCUUCGGGUGACGAGCGGCGGACGGGUGAGUAAUGUCUGGGAAACUGCCUGAUGGAGGGGGAUAACUACUGGAAACGGUAGCUAAUACCGCAUAACGUCUUCGGACCAAAGAGGGGGACCUUCGGGCCUCUUGCCAUCGGAUGUGCCCAGAUGGGAUUAGCUAGUAGGUGAGGUAAUGGCUCACCUAGGCGACGAUCCCUAGCUGGUCUGAGAGGAUGACCAGCCACACUGGAACUGAGACACGGUCCAGACUCCUACGGGAGGCAGCAGUGGGGAAUAUUGCACAAUGGGCGCAAGCCUGAUGCAGCCAUGCCGCGUGUGUGAAGAAGGCCUUCGGGUUGUAAAGCACUUUCAGCGGGGAGGAAGGCGAUAAGGUUAAUAACCUUGUCGAUUGACGUUACCCGCAGAAGAAGCACCGGCUAACUCCGUGCCAGCAGCCGCGGUAAUACGGAGGGUGCAAGCGUUAAUCGGAAUGACUGGGCGUAAAGCGCACGCAGGCGGUCUGUUAAGUUGGAUGUGAAAUCCCCGGGCUUAACCUGGGAACUGCAUUCAAAACUGACAGGCUAGAGUCUUGUAGAGGGGGGUAGAAUUCCAGGUGUAGCGGUGAAAUGCGUAGAGAUCUGGAGGAAUACCGGUGGCGAAGGCGGCCCCCUGGACAAAGACUGACGCUCAGGUGCGAAAGCGUGGGGAGCAAACAGGAUUAGAUACCCUGGUAGUCCACGCUGUAAACGAUGUCGACUUGGAGGUUGUGCCCUUGAGGCGUGGCUUCCGGAGCUAACGCGUUAAGUCGACCGCCUGGGGAGUACGGCCGCAAGGUUAAAACUCAAAUGAAUUGACGGGGGCCCGCACAAGCGGUGGAGCAUGUGGUUUAAUUCGAUGCAACGCGAAGAACCUUACCUACUCUUGACAUCCACAGAAUUUGGUAGAGAUACCUUAGUGCCUUCGGGAACUGUGAGACAGGUGCUGCAUGGCUGUCGUCAGCUCGUGUUGUGAAAUGUUGGGUUAAGUCCCGCAACGAGCGCAACCCUUAUCCUUUGUUGCCAGCACGUAAUGGUGGGAACUCAAAGGAGACUGCCGGUGAUAAACCGGAGGAAGGUGGGGAUGACGUCAAGUCAUCAUGGCCCUUACGAGUAGGGCUACACACGUGCUACAAUGGCGUAUACAAAGAGAAGCGAACUCGCGAGAGCAAGCGGACCUCAUAAAGUACGUCGUAGUCCGGAUUGGAGUCUGCAACUCGAUUCCAUGAAGUCGGAAUCGCUAGUAAUCGUAGAUCAGAAUGCUACGGUGAAUACGUUCCCGGGCCUUGUACACACCGCCCGUCACACCAUGGGAGUGGGUUGCAAAAGAAGUAGGUAGCUUAACCUUCGGGAGGGCGCUUACCACUUUGUGAUUCAUGACUGGGGUGAAGUCGUAACAAGGUAACCGUAGGGGAACCUGCGGUUGGAUCACCU